AUUGAACGCUGGCGGCAGGCCUAACACAUGCAAGUCGAGCGGAUGAAGGGAGCUUGCUCCUGGAUUCAGCGGCGGACGGGUGAGUAAUGCCUAGGAAUCUGCCUGGUAGUGGGGGAUAACGUCCGGAAACGGGCGCUAAUACCGCAUACGUCCUGAGGGAGAAAGUGGGGGAUCUUCGGACCUCACGCUAUUAGAUGAGCCUAGGUCGGAUUAGCUAGUUGGUGGGGUAAAGGCCUACCAAGGCGACGAUCCGUAACUGGUCUGAGAGGAUGAUCAGUCACACGGGAACUGGGACACGGUCCAGACUCCUACGGGAGGCAGCAGUGGGGAAUAUUGGACAAUGGGCGAAAGCCUGAUCCAGCCAUGCCGCGUGUGUGAAGAAGGUCUUCGGAUUGUAAAGCACUUUAAGUUGGGAGGAAGGGCAGUAAGUUAAUACCUUGCUGUUUUGACGUUACCAACAGAAUAAGCACCGGCUAACUUCGUG
RNAcentral lists this ribosomal RNA (484 nucleotides) under uncultured bacterium. RNAcentral describes it as "partial 16S ribosomal RNA". It matches the Rfam family "Bacterial small subunit ribosomal RNA", at positions 30 to 507 of the family's 1533-position model. The record is from RNAcentral.